Molecule: long non-coding RNA, 4959 nt
Filed under: Panax ginseng (ginseng)
Lineage: Eukaryota; Viridiplantae; Streptophyta; Magnoliopsida; Apiales; Araliaceae
Description: long non-coding RNA (PGIN_LNC016188)
Source: RNAcentral
UCCACUACAUAAUCAUUCAUUAUCUUUAUAAUUAACCAUCUAAAGCUACCACAGUUCUUCAAUCAAAGUAUAUAUCUACAUAUAUAUAGAGAGUACACUUCAUAAUUUCGUCCCUUGUCUUCCAUAAACAUAGCACGAAAAUUUGAUACCCAGUAUUGUAAGGCAGGUCGUAAAAGCAGUCUUCCUACACAUAUUUAAAAAUAAUAGCUAGUCAAAAAAAUGAAACAAAUAAGUCACAAGAGGCACUUAGUGCCAAAAUCAAUACACAAAGACAAUAGAGUUGCUACGGGGUACUAAUGUACACCGUAUUGCUCAUAAACAGAAAAAGACAAAUAGACAAUCACAAUAUCAUUUGCUACAAAUCCAAAUAGAAAAAGAACCUUCAGUGCGAUUAUAUGAUUGCUUUGUUACAAGAUAAAAUUGGAAUCUUAAUCGGCCAUUUCAUGAAUUAAUUUCAGUAAGCAUAGUGAUAAACAUAUUUUCUGUUACAAGACUUGUAGAUUAUUAUUAUAUGUUGACUUCAAGUCAGAAUUCAGUCAUAUUCAACAGUCACAAGCAUCACACAAUCUUAAAUAACAAUGUUUAGAUUUCUAUAUAGAAAGGACAAUAAUUAUGGAAAAAUUGAGGCUAUUAGUCAAUAUGAAAAAACUUUUCUUGAGAUGACAAAUUUCCAUACAACAGUAUAUGCCCCAAAGAUGCUAGCUAUAAUCACAGACAUCAUAGAUUUAUUUACCAAGAAUUCAACAUGAUCAAGUUAUAAGAGACAGUUGUCCAAAAUUAUAUUGAAGCAUCAGUAGCAAAGCCAUCACAAAUAAAAAUGAACAAGCAUACCUACUCCACCACAAAAAAUAUAUCGAGCAUCUGUCUUCAUGACCAAUUUCUCUAACAAAUUCAGGUCACCAAAAAUAGCAUAACCAGAAGAUCCACAUGUAAAAUAGUCUACAAUGUCAAGGCUUGGCUCCUAUUUCAUAAUACUUUAGAAACAAGAGAAUAGUACAUGGAAAAAAAAUUGGUAGGUUGAAUUUGUUGCUUCCAACUACAAGAGAAAACAGAAUAUAAAUAUGACAAUAAAUUCAUUAUAGAUUUUAAAACUUCCAACCUUAUCAUCAGACUAAAUACAGGGUAGAUCCCUUUUACUGUCUUACAGAUUGAGACAAAUUUUCAUAUAUAACAGAUAACUCCAGCCUUUUAGCAUUGAUCUAUACAUUUCAAAAUAUAAAACUUUCUUAUGUGGCAAGCUUAUGUCAUUAUAAAUGUUAAAGGAAGAAGAGGGAUGGGUACCUUCACAUGGUUUAGUUCACCAAUAAUAACUCAACUGCUUGAGUACCUCAAAAGUUGGUAUAUAUUAAUCUAACUUGAGGGUCAACUCUGGCCAUAGUUACAACAGAGACAAUUAAUCAAUGAUUUGGCGAUUUAAGUGAAUAUGUUCCAAACUUGUGUAAACUUGAACAAACAAUAUGAAGUUCUUUUAUGCAUCGAUCAUGCUGAUUCUUUAUCCUUUCUAAUUUUUGCCUUUGUUUUGCCAACAUUUCCUCCAAUUCUUUUCUUUGAGAAAAAACAUUUUAACAUUAGCGAACAACACCAUCAAGUCAACAACCAAAUCCAUUUGUUACAAAUGGUGACAGAUAUUAGGAUCUCUAAUAUGCAAGACCUGGAGAGAAAAACAUACUAGUAAAGAGUUCCAACAAAAGUAUUUCUUGAACGUUGUCUAUCCCCAACAUCGAACAUGCUUGCGGAUACUCCAAAGUCGACUACCUUGACAACACCAUUAGAAUCAACUAAUAUGUUCCCAACCUGUAAAAAUUAUAAUUUGUUCCAAUUUCGUCUCCAUCAAAAUUAAUAUCAGAAUAGUGGAUAUUGUCAACUUAGUUCUCCUAAGUAUAGGCUAGUCAAUUAAAUCCCUUAGAACCUUCUGUUGUAGGUAUUCUUUUUUCCAAAAGUGAAUUAAGAUAGUCAUGGUAACCAUUCGAACCAUCAAAAUCAUUAAUAUUAUUAACGAAUGUAUCAAGCAAUAUAAUAGAGUAGUAAAGAUUGUAAAGACAGUACCGUAACUGUGAGUAGGUACAUUAACUUACUAAUAAAAUGCACCGUAAUCCCCUUUCACAUUUUCAUUCUUAGGUAAAUGAGGUUAAACUAUUUUCAAGAUGUAAAAAAUCAGUGAAAAAUGCUAGUAAUAAGUGGAUAUCCUACCUACUUGGUCGAACAUACUGAAAAAGUUGUGUUAACUAGUAGGUAUUUGAUUACUAAGCGUACAGACUUGCAGUUUCAAAUUUUCAUUCCAUUAAACAAAACAAUAGAGAAAGAAUGAAAUAGAUUUCCCUUAACCAGUCAUUAGAGCCCAGAAAAAAUAACAAUGUAUCACUAAUAAUAUCAGGAACCAGCUCAAGACACGACAAGUAAACAUAAAUGUGUAUCUCCGCAUGGAAGCAAAGCUACAUGCACAUUCAUAUUAUGUUUACAGCCAUUGAAACAUUUUUAUUCGCUCCUAAUUGUCAUUAGAAAAGAGAGGUAAUAAUUAUAAAUGGUGAAACAAUGUUUAUAAUAAUAAUUGCAUUAACUUCUUGCAAAAAAUGGGCACAAACACCCUUUUCACACUGACUUUCUUUUGGUAAAUGAAGUUGAACUUUCUGCAAGUGUUAAAAUAAGUGACAACUGAUGAAUAUCCUAUCUGCUUGGUCCAACAUACCCGUUAAACGCCAACAUAUUCAAGAGUAUUGAAAAACACGUAUGAUUUGUAAACUUUUACAACUUACUGAUUUCUUUGUAGCUUCCACAAGCAUAUUUGCAGCUCUUGCAGAAGGACUUGCCAACUUCAUGAUCCUGUUACACUGACUACUUUAAGGGAUGACUGCAGUGCCUGCAUGAUCAUUGGCACUCUGUUUAUUAAACACUAUAGGGCAUGGAGAAAAGUUAAUAUAAAAUAAGCAAAAGAAUACCUUCUUUCACAACACUAGGUAAAUUUUCUGCCAAAACAGAGCCACGAUUUUCCUCAUCUUUUUGCCACUGAGUUUUUCAGAGGGCAAUUUCUUUAUCACAAUAACUACGAUUGUCUAUAAUAUGCUGACCAUAGCUAUCCAGCACGUACUUCACUGGUGCUAAAGUUGAGUCUACAUCAGGAAUACCUUGCCUGCGAUCUGAAUUUAUCAGACAUGAAUGAGAUUCACUGAUUUUUAGGCGCUUUCUAUCUGGCUCUUUAAGUUCAAACUAUGAAAAAUCAGCAGGAGCUUCUCUAUAUAUGCUAGUUGCUUUAUUACUCAAAACUGUAGCACUAUCAUUCCUACAUUAACCUGAGGCCAAUUCCUACUAUCACAAUGGAACAAAAAUAACACAAUUACAAAACAAAAACCAAAAUACGUGUUCUUUUGCUUAAGAAUAAUUGUUUGCAGAAAUAAGCUAUAAUAAUACGUGUUCAACCUCCCUUUGAUAAUGAAUUCUUACAUUAUGUGUUCUAAACAAGUCCCAGGAAAUUAAGUAUCAAGUUUGACUACAAAUAAUAUUACAACAAAAUGUGUUUUAAGUCAACACCUUGAAGAAACCUUUAUUAAUAGGCAAAAAGAAUAUUAUAUUUUUAUGUCGUGCAACAUCAAGAGUUGAAAGAGUAUUAGGUGUUUACUCUGAAGUUACAAGGUGGGAUCUAUGAACGUUAAUUGGUAGUAUUAGUUUAUAAGCUAGUCUAGAAAAAUUUAACUGGUGAUAAAUGAUACUGAAGUAAGAGAAUAAUUAAGGUAACAUGAUAUAUAUGGGUAAUCAGUCAAUCUAAGAGAAAAUGUAAGAAAUUGAUAAUAAGUGAAACAAAAGGGAUAUAUAAAAAGGUAAAAUCAUGAAUCAGUUGGCAAAACUUUUGAUUCAAAUUUAGAAAGGGUAUAUCAAAUUAAUAUCAUUUUUUCCAAAUUAUUCUGUCAAACGAGGUAGAUUUGCGAGCGAGUGUUUUACCACCGCAAAGCUACAUCAAAUGUGAUUCCAUCUACUUUAUUCUUUCCUAAAACCUAAGAUGUCAUCCAGUGGAUUAUUCUGAAUUACAGAAAUGUCAAUCACUGUUAAGCAUUAAUCAAGUGGCAUGUACAAAGUAGUAGAGCAAUCAAAACAACAUAUAUAUAAAAGAUGGUAAAAAAAAUUUAACAAAGUUAUCAUGGUCAACUUUCAUAUCGCUUUUUAAAGUAAUAAGAAUUCAGGAUCACCCAUUUAAUGCAAAAGGUAAAUGAACAUGAUUCAGAAAUAGGAGAGCCUUUUUUUAAAUUUAUUAUUAGUAAUAAGAGACGAAGUUGAAUCAAAGGAAAAUUAAUUUGCUAACUGAUUCAGGAUUUUACCUUUAUGCAUAUACCUUAAUACCCAGGCAGUUCUAAAAUCCAAAAUCAACAUAUUCACAAAACAGAGAGGUGCCCACGGGUCAAAAUUAAAACAAACAUAACUAUAGAUUAAUCAAUUUACUGAAUGAGAUACUUAUAAAUGAAAAUAAAUUCACUAAAUUAAACCACCAACACCCAAUUACAAUGAAAGUAAGACAUGUAUUCGGUAUAUGCACAUAAAAAUUUUAAUAUAUAGAGAAAGUAGAAUACCUUAUAUACACCAACUGUUGGUUCUACAACGAUUUAACGAUUUAGGGGGGAUUUUUGCUACUGAUCGCUAUUUCUCGCUGUGCUUUGGUGUCUCCUUGCUUCUAGGUUUCCAUCAUUUUCUCAGUUUCUCCACUAUUCGAUUAGUUUCUCAGUUUCCUUUGCUACUAAUUUUCGGGGUUUAUCAGCUUUCUGAUAAAGUUCUGCUACUACUCGUUUCCACUUCAGAGAUCAAUUGAUUUGGGGGAGAUGUUUGGUUUACGGAUAUGGGGAGAGAAGAUUUUGGAAAUUUGGUAUAGGAAAAAAGAAUGUAUUUCCUCCUAUCUGCUUCCCGCUUGCCCUUGUUUUUAGAUAAACUAUUUUUCUACAUCCUCAAUUUUGCACAAUCUAAAAAUAAUUUGUGAAU